RNAcentral lists this ribosomal RNA (274 nucleotides) under uncultured bacterium. RNAcentral describes it as "partial 16S ribosomal RNA". It matches the Rfam family "Bacterial small subunit ribosomal RNA", at positions 523 to 796 of the family's 1533-position model. The record is from RNAcentral.
CUACGGAGGGUGCAAGUGUUGUUCGGAAUUAUUGGGCGUAAAGAGCAUGUAGGCGGUUCGUUAAGUCUGAUGUGAAAGCCCGGGGCUCAACCCCGGAAGUGCAUUGGAUACUGGCGAACUUGAGUACGGGAGAGGAAAGUGGAAUUUCGAGUGUAGGGGUGAAAUCCGUAGAUAUUCGAAGGAACACCAGUGGCGAAGGCGGCUUUCUGGACCGAUACUGACGCUGAGAUGCGAAAGCGUGGGGAGCAAACAGGAUUAGAAACCCGUGUAGUCC